GAGGGUACAGCUCAGUGGUAGAGCGCAUGCUUAGCAUGCAUGCGGUCUUGAGUUCAAUCCUCAGUACCUCCA
Molecule: transfer RNA, 72 nt
Filed under: Camelus bactrianus (Bactrian camel)
Lineage: Eukaryota; Metazoa; Chordata; Mammalia; Artiodactyla; Camelidae
Also listed under: 2 other names
Rfam family: tRNA
About the family: Transfer RNA (tRNA) molecules are approximately 80 nucleotides in length. Their secondary structure includes four short double-helical elements and three loops (D, anti-codon, and T loops). Further hydrogen bonds mediate the characteristic L-shaped molecular structure. tRNAs have two regions of fundamental functional importance: the anti-codon, which is responsible for specific mRNA codon recognition, and the 3' end, to which the tRNAs corresponding amino acid is attached (by aminoacyl-tRNA synthetases). tRNAs cope with the degeneracy of the genetic code in two manners: having more than one tRNA (with a specific anti-codon) for a particular amino acid; and 'wobble' base-pairing, i.e. permitting non-standard base-pairing at the 3rd anti-codon position.
Source: Rfam by way of RNAcentral